GGAGGGUUUCGUGCCAGCAACCAUUUUUAAUGUUUUACAAACUCCAUGUGUCUGUCUCAAUUCAGGAGCUUGUAAUUCAGUAGUUUGUUGCUGUAUAUCAUAACAGUUUAUCGUUCAAUGUUUUGUUAAUAAAUCAGGCCCUAAGUUGUUCAUUGGUAAUUUCAAGUCCUUGACGUUGUAUAGCUCAUUGUUGAAGGAUGUACAGUUACCUAUGGUUGUUAA
This 222-nucleotide long non-coding RNA is filed under the name Mytilus galloprovincialis (Mediterranean mussel). Lineage: Eukaryota; Metazoa; Mollusca; Bivalvia; Mytilida; Mytilidae. The record is from RNAcentral.